AUCCUUUUGUGGUUCAUAAGCAUGAUGAUUGGGUUUUCACGCUCAUGUGUGAGAUGUGCCUCCCUCAAACCUUGUUACGACAUUGGCAUAUUACUCUUCUGACG
This is a small nucleolar RNA of Prolemur simus (greater bamboo lemur), 104 nucleotides long. The record is from Ensembl. NCBI's taxonomy places the organism in Eukaryota, Metazoa, Chordata, Mammalia, Primates, Lemuridae.